GACCGGAGCACAGGCGUCACAGGGACUCAGGGGACAUCAUAGGUGUUACAGGGGUCUGGACAGGGAGCCCAGGCAAAGCCACAAAGGGUCCCAGGGCUGUCACUGGUAACAUAAACAGAUCACGGAGACUGUAAACGCACCAUGGGGCAAACCGGAGAUUCUCCUAGACAUUUUUCUCCCACACAAUAAUUUCCAGAGCUGCGGAUGGGCAACGUCAAGCGCACCCAGGAUUGGGAAUCUCUGCUGUCCGACAAGAGCCAUAGAAGGGAGCCCCUGAACAGAAAAGAAGCUUGCGUCUAAGAGACCCAGGGUGGGCACGGGAAUCUUGAGUCCUCUCCGCAAGGAAGCAGGAGACUCACUUGUGGAGGGACCCCUUGAAGAAGAACGUUCUGCCUCCCACGUCUGGGAUCAGGUGGACACUCACUUGUGCCAGCACUCGGACGAACCAGUUGAGAAACGUCGGCCUGCAGGCAAAAGAUGCACACUGGAAACUUUCAAAUUCUGGAAGUAGAGAAUUAUCCUAUCACCUGCAGGAGCUUUAAAUUUUCUAGCCAAUCAGAGAAAGCGGGCGUGACAAGGGGCGUGUCUUUCUGUGCUUUUCAACCCUCAGAGCUUGGGCUGUACCAAUAGCACGCCAGAGGAAGGAGGCUUAUGGUGGUGGCGGAGCAUACCAAGCCGCGCGGACGAGUGGAUGUGAUGGGAGGGGACGGAGACUUCAGCUGGGCCACGCGUGGAUUAGUGUCACCAAUCGCGUCUCUGAAGAUUUAUAUUCAAGACCUUGCCUCCAAUACAGACUCCCUCCUCUCUAGCCCUCACACAGCGGCUGAACUUGGCUUUGGGGAAGAGCUGCCUCGGAUCCCUCCCAUCUCUGUUUACACUCACGGGACCUUUGUCCAUUUCUGGGCAGACCGCCCCCUCCAGCCCUCACCCCCUGACUGAGACCUGCUGCUCCCGCUGCCCCCACCCCCAGCUCCUUCCACGCUUAUCGGUCUUUGUGUCAUUUUACUCAUGUCUUUCCCAUCCGUCUGAGACACAUCAGUGAAGAACUGAGACCUGUGACCAAGUGCUCAGAGGGUACAAGGGAAGUGAGCGAGCCUCUGUCUUCAGGGAAUGCGUAUCCCUCUCAUUGUACUGAAUGCAUAGGAAAUUUGUUUUUCAUUUUCUUUUCCCUCAUUAAAUCUUGGAAUGACAGAGCUAGAAGGCAUCUUACAGACCAGACAUCCUGGAAUGUGAAGUCAAGUGGGCCUUAGGAAGCAUCACUACGAACAAAGCUAGUGGAGGUGAUGGAAUUCCAGUUGAGCUAUUUCAAAUCCUGAAAGAUGAUGCUGUGAAAGUGCUGCACUCAAUAUGCCAGCAAAUUUGGAAGACUCAGCAGUGGCCACAGGACUGGAAAAGGUCAGUUUUCAUUCCAAUCCCAAAGAAAGGCAAUGCCAAAGAAUGCUCAAACUACCACACAAUUGCACUCAUCUCACACGCUAGUAAAGUGAUGCUUAAAAUUCUUCAAGUCAGACUUCAGCAAUACAUGAACCGUGAACUUCCAGAUGUUCAAGCUGGUUUAAGAAAAGGCAGAGGAAACAGAGAUCAAAUUGCCAACAUCUGUUGGAUCAUUGAAAAAACAAGAGAGUUCUAGAAAAACAUCUAUUUCUGCUUUAUUGACUAUGCCAAAGCCUUUGACUGUAUGGAUCACAAUAAAAUGUGGAAAAUUCUGAAAGAGAUGGGAAUACCAGACCACCUGACCAGCCUCUUGAGAAACCUGUAUGCAGGUCAGGAAGCAAGAACUGGACAUGGACCAACAGACUGGUUCCAAAUAGGAAAAGGAAUACAUCAAGGCUGUAUAUUGUCACCCUGCUUAUUUACCUUAUAUGCAGAGUACAUCAUAAGAAACGCUGGGCUGGAGGAAGCACAAGCUGGAAUCAAGAUUGGCGGGAGAAAUAUCAAUAACCUCAGAUAUGCAGAUGACACCACCUUAUGGCAGAAAGUGAAGAAGAACUAAAGAGCCUCUUGAUGAAAGUGAAAGAGGAGAGUGAAAAAGUUGGUUUAAAGCUCAACAUUCAGAAAACUAAGAUCAUGGCAUCUGGUCCCAUCACUUCAUGGCAAAUAGAUGGGGAGACAGUGGAAACAGUGUCAGACUUUAUUUUUCUGGGCUCCAAAAUCACUGUAGAUGGUGAUUGCAGCCAUGAAAUUAAAAGACGCUUACUCCUUGGAAGGAAAGUUAUGACCAACCUAGAUAGCAUAUUAAAAUGCAGAGACAUUACUCUGUCAACAAAGGUCCGUCUAGUCAAGGCUAUGGGUUUUUCCAGUAGUCAUGCAUGGAUGUGAGAGUUGGACUAUGAAGAAAGCUGAGCGCUGAAGAAUUGAUGCUUUUGUUUUUUUUUUUUUUAAACUUUAAUCAAAGUGGGACAUUUUAGUAUAUCUCUCAAUAUUUGAUAGAUCAAGCAGAUUAAAAAAAGAAAUCAACAUAAACAUAGAGGAUUUGAACAACACAGACAGUAAAACUGUUCCAGUGAGCAUAUACAGCACUUCACCCAAUAGACAGAAAAUAUAUAUUUGUAUUAAAUUCUCAUGGAACAUUUAUAAAAAUUGAUUAUAAUAAUUAAGCAAGUCUUUAUGAAUUUUAACAGUUGAAUAUUAUUCAGAUCAUAUUUAAUGACUGCAAUACUAACAAGUUAGAAAUUAAACACCAAAAAGGUAACUUAAGAAAACUCAUUUGUAUACUGUAACACUUAUUUCAAAAUAAUCCAAAUGUCAGAAAUAAUAGGUAUUGCAAAAUGUGUGCUAAAGCCAAAAGCAGUAACUGCAUUGUGUGUGUACUAAGUCGCUUCAGUUGUGUCUGACUCUGUGCGACCCUGUGGACUGUAGCCUGCCAGACUCCUCUGUCCAUGGGAUUCUCCAGGCAAGAAUACUGAAGUGUGUUGCCAUGCCCUCCUCCAGGGGAUCUUCCCGACCCAGGGAUCAAACCUGAGUCUCACAUCACCUGCAUUGGCAGCGCCACCAAUUGAGCAGUAGCCAAAUUGUUAUUAAAGAUUUGUGUACAUGAACAUAUGUACAGAUGUUAUGUCUGAGAUCUAGUCAGGAAAGAUUCCCAAGGAUACAUAGGAAAGGAUUGUUAUUCAGGAUGAGAGAAAAUAAUUGAAUUGUUUACCAAAUUAGUGGACUGGCAACUUCACAGGAAAUGUAUGUUGUGUGGCCUUAGCCUAUUUGGCCAGCUUUUGUAUUCAAAUCUUAAAGACAGAGUUUAUGCUCAGAAUAAUACUUAUUUAAAAUGCUGUUAGUGCUACUUAGUACUUCAUGGCUUCUUAUUUGGGAAUUAUUGGAAAAUGUAGAUCAGGUAUAGACUGUGACAGGCUGUGGUUGUUGUAAACUGCUAGCAAUAUACAGAUUAUAGGAUUGCUUCCAGGAUUGUUUUCCAUUUAGAACUGAACAACAAAGCAAUAAUGCAUAUUAAAACAUGUGGUGGUUAGUGGUACUCAGAGGGAAAUUUAUAGUCUAGAAUGUAUGUGGUACUUAAAGGGAGAUUUAUGGCUUAUUAUGCUCAUAUUAGAAAAGAACACUGAAAAUAACUAAGCUUAGCAUCCAAGUCAUGAAGUUAAAAAGAGUAGAAUAAACUUCCAAAAACAUAGAAGAAAGAAAAUGGUGAACAAGAGACAAAAACUAAUCAUCUGGGUGGGGGGAAGUUACAGUAAAGGUAUUAACAAAACUGAAAGGUUUUUUUUUAAGCAUUAAGAAACUGACAAAUCUCUGGCAGAAUUACUUAAGGGGGAAAAAGGCAGAAACCAUAAAGAAAUAAUAUCAAGAAUGGGACAGCGGACAAAACUACUGAUGCAGACAUGUUUAAGAAUAUUACAAAGUGUUAGUCACUCAGUCAUGUCUGACUCUUUGUGAUCCCGUGGACUGAAGCCAGCCAGACUCCUCCAUCCAUGGGAUUUUCCAGGCAAGAAUACUGGAGUGGGUUCCCAUUUCCUUCUCCAAUUGAUGCAGACACAUUUAAGAAUAUUACAAAGGAACAUUGCUGCUGCUGCUGCUAAGUCACUUCAGUCGUGUCCGACUCUGUGUGACCCCAUAGACGGCAGCCCACCAGGCUCCCCCGUCCCUGGGAUUCUCCAGGCAAGAAUACUGGAGUGGGUUGAAUUGAUGCUUUUGAACUGUGGUGUUGGAGAAGACUCUUGAGAGUCCCUUGGACUGCAAGGAGAUCCAACCAGUCCAACCUAAAGGAGAUCAGUCCUGUGUGUUCAUUGGAAGGACUGAUGUUGAAGUUGAAACUCCAAUACUUUGGCCACCUGAUGCAAAGAGCUGACUCAUUGGAAGAGACCCUGAUGCUGGGAAAGAUUGAGGGCAGGAGGAGAAGGGGACGACAGAAGAUGAGAUGGUUAGAUGGCAUCAUUGACUUGAUGGACAUGAGUUUGGGUGGACUCUGGGAGUUGGUGAUGGAUAGGGAGGCCUGGCGUGCUGCGGUUCACGGGGUCGCAAAGAGUCAGACAUGACUGAGCGACUGAAUUGAACUGAGACAAUAACUCCCAUUCCUCUGUUCUCAGCCCCUGGUACCUCAAAUAUUUUAUUCUGAAAAUACAUUACAACAUGUACAGAAAGAUUGAAAGACUUUUACAGUGAACACCAUAUACCUACCAUCAAGAUUCUACAAUUAAUAUUUUGCUGUAUUUGUUUUGUGUAUUAGUCGCUCAGUCGUGCCUGACUCUUUGCGGACUAUAUAUAGCCUGCCAGGCUCCUCUGUCCAUGGAAUUCUCCAGGUAAGAAUACUGGAAUGGGUUGCCAUUCCCUUUUCCAGGCGAUCUUUGCAACCCAGGGAUAGAACCAAGGUCUCUCAGCAGAUUCCUUACUGGCUGAGCCAUCAGGGAAGUAUUUAAUACAUCUAUCCAUCCCUGCAUUCAUCAAACCAUCUUUUGUGAUGCAGUUCAAAGUUGCAGACAACAGUAUAUUUCACAUCUAAACACUUCAAUAUGCAUAGAAUUAGCUAGAGUUUAUGCUUACCUUUUUAAUGUAAACUUUACAUAUAGUGAAGUGCACAGAAUAUACAAUAUGUAUUCUUGUGUGUACUGGCUUCUUUCACUCACCAUGAUUUUGAGAUUCAUCCAUGUUGCUGAGUGUAUCAGUAGUUGGAUCCUUUUUAAUGCUGAGUUGUGUUGCAUUGUAUGGAUAUACUACAGUUUACCCAUUUUCUUGUUGAUGAAUAUCUGGAUUUUGUGGUAUUUAUGCUUUAUUUUCUCUUGGAAAAAUACCUAGGUGAAAAAUUGCUGAGUCUUGGAGUUUACAUUUAGUCUUAUAUGAAACUGCAAGAGCUUUUCCCAAAGUGGUUGUCUGCCCAUCUGGUUAACAGUGAG
Long non-coding RNA from Dama dama (fallow deer), 5336 nucleotides. RefSeq lists it as uncharacterized. NCBI's taxonomy places the organism in Eukaryota, Metazoa, Chordata, Mammalia, Artiodactyla, Cervidae. The transcript has 3 exons. The record is from RefSeq and is a predicted model, not a curated record.